RNAcentral lists this non-coding RNA (1479 nucleotides) under Schistocephalus solidus. Its description in RNAcentral is "Eukaryotic small subunit ribosomal RNA". It matches the Rfam family "Eukaryotic small subunit ribosomal RNA", at positions 637 to 1831 of the family's 1831-position model. Lineage: Eukaryota; Metazoa; Platyhelminthes; Cestoda; Diphyllobothriidea; Diphyllobothriidae. The record is from Rfam by way of RNAcentral.
AACUUCCGCCAAAUCGCGGUGUCCAAUGUUCUUUGUAUGCUUUGUAUGUUGGGCAGGCAUGGUUAUGCUCAGGUUGGCGUGGUGGUGGUGUCACCUUCCAGCCAUUUCUGUGGUGAAAAACCAGCAGGUGUAGGCGAGUGUAUGGCGGUGCUCUGCGACAGUAGGGUCAAUCGGCUCGUAUACAUGCCCUUAAAAGGGUGUCUUUGGGCGGAAGGCACGUUUACUUUGAACAAAUGUGAGUUCUCAAACCAGGCAAUUGUGGCAUGAAACGUUUUGCAUGGAAUAGUGGAAUAGGACUUCAGUUCUAUUUCGUUUGUUUUCGGAUCCGAAGUAUCGAUCAAAAGAGACAGGCAAGGACGUUUUUAUGGUUGCGCUGGAGGUGAAAUUCAUGGACCGUAACCAGACAAACUAAAGCGAAAGCAUUUGUAAAGCAUGUAUUUAUUAUAUAUGAGCGAAAGUCAGAGCAUCGAAGAUGAUCAGAUACCGUCCUAAAUCUGACCGUAAACGAUACAAACUGACAAUCCGUGGUGGUUGUUUUUUAACCAUCCCCACGGGCAUACCCCGGGAAAACUUUAAGUUUUUUGGUUUCUGGGGAAGUAUGGUUGCAAAGCUGAAACCUAAGAAAUUGACGGAAUGGCACCACCAGGCGGUGAGCCUGGUGCUUAAUUUGACUCAACACGGGAAAAAUCACCCAGCCCGGACAAUGUGAGGAUUGACAGAUUGAUAGCUCUUUCUUGAUUUAAUGGUUAAUGGUGCAUGGCCGUUCUUAGUUGGUGAAGCGAUUUGGUUGGUUAAUUCCGAUAACGACCGAGACUCUAGCCUGAUAAUUAGUACGCUUGUCCUCUGUUCCUGUGCUUGCGGCGUAUUGGUUAUACUGCUUACUUCAGCUGACUACUGUCGGGCCACGCAUUUCUCUGCAUGCGUGUACUGUUNGACCUUCCCGGGGCGAGUAGUGCGCGCGCGUGUGGGGCAGCGGACAGCGGUAGGAGGUGUGAGCGGUGGGUUCAGCGCUAGUCUCCGGGUACAAAACAGGUGUUUCUACUACUACGAGGGACAAGCAUUACGAAUGUGCACGAAAUUGAGCAAACACCGGUCUGUGAUGCCCUAAGAUGUCCGUAACCGCACGCGCGCUACAAUAUCGGUGCCAACGAGUCUGAACUUCUGGCCCGAAAGGGUUGGGAAAACUGGUCAAUCACCGUCAUGACAGGGAUCGGGGCUUGGAAUUGUUCCUCGUGAACGAGGAAUUUCUAGUAAGUGCAAAUCAUAAGCUUGUGCUGAUAACGUCCCUGCCCUUUGUUCACACCUCCCGUUGCUACUACCCAUUGCAUGGUUCAGUAAGGUCCUCGUAUUGGCAACAAUGUUGUGCCAGCCGCAAGGUUGGUGCUCGACAGGUGCCGAGAAGACGACCAAACAUGAUCAUUUAGAGGAAGUUAAAGUCAUAACAAGGUUUCCGUAGGUGAACCUUCGGAAGGAUCAUUA